CACCAACAAAAAAUCGGCAAGGUAUUAUGAAGGGCAAUGGAACAAGUGAAGGCAACACCAGAAAAUUAGCGAAACAUUCUGAAGAGCAAUGGAACAAGUUGAACUUUCAACAUUGUAAAACAUAUGCGGAAAGACAUCAUCAGGAGAUAGGGCAAACUUUGAUCCUGUUGACCUGAAAUUCGCGAUCGAUCUCAAAGUCCGAGAGGACCUAAAAGUUCGAACAAUCGAAACAGUUGAGACUGACUCGACACAGGUGUACAGUCUUGAAGAUUCGGAACCUCGAGAGCUCGGCAUGGAAGCCCGAGCUGGGGCAAAGGAAGAGCAAACCAUCGAGAAGAGAAAUCUUGCUGUUUUGUUAACGAUCCCAAAGAUAAGAAGGAAAGGUUAGUAAUAUAUAAUCAGAGGCUAACCCUUUAAUGUGAGACAGAGCGACUUCAUACUCUAGGCUAGUGGCAUCAGAAUCCUUAAAGGCUAUUCACCAAAAAGGAAAGAAAAUGUACCGGGAAGAUAAAAGUAAGAAAACGAGGGUAACAGUGCGCACAAAUGGCAGAGGAAAGCUAAAUAUAGAAAAAGGUAGAGAAGAUUUAAAGCUGCAAGUGGCAAUAAGAUGAAAGGGCAAGCCGAAUUUCAAUAGACGCGGUCAUAAUGAUUCUAGGGGUUUACCCCCUCGACAGUUGGAGCAAUAACUGCCGAGAAGGUAAAGGGGCAAUUGAUGACCCCUGAGUUCACCUCAUCCCCGUCUAGGGCUAGGCCCAUGAAAAUAGCCCACUGCUCUGAGAUUCUCAAGCCAUUCACGCCAAUUGGGUCCAGUCCACUAAGCCUCACGACCAGGUUCAUCCGGCUCCCCUCAUCAGGCCGGCCACGCCACCUCUACUCCUUAGGCCGAUUCCAUUUAGGCCCUGCUCUAUCCUCACUCUCUGGCCCAGCCCAGAACCCGAAAGAGGAUCCGUCCACCCAUCUUGUAGACCCGCCUACCCGAGCCUGGAGAGGAUCAGAGGCCGUUAUGCAUGGG
This 1012-nucleotide long non-coding RNA is filed under the name Manihot esculenta (cassava). RNAcentral's name for it is "long non-coding RNA (MESC_LNC008780)". Lineage: Eukaryota; Viridiplantae; Streptophyta; Magnoliopsida; Malpighiales; Euphorbiaceae. The record is from RNAcentral.